AUAAUCUGUGGCCCGUAAGCUCACAUCAGACAAUUACUUAGUGGACAGCCAGUAGCCAGCAUUCAUUCCACUCGAAUCAACUGGCCAUGAAUAAGCGGAGCACUCAAACACUCACUUGACACUCACGCUGGCACUCGAAUAGAAAUGGGCAAACAGCGAGUGGCCGAAAUGCGAGUCGGAAAAUCCAUUGGCUGUCCCGCUCUCUCAUUUUCCAGAACAAGGAUGCGAAUGCGAAUGCGAACGCGGAUACGGAUACGGACAUGGACAUGGACUACGGAUCGACCGGACCCAUUCCGGCCAUGUUGUAAUGUAAUGUAAUGCGCGUGCUGCCAGCCGAAAUAAAGAAAAUGAAGCGUUACUCGCUACGGGGUCGCAGAGAGGUC
This is a non-coding RNA of Drosophila melanogaster (fruit fly), 383 nucleotides long. Lineage: Eukaryota; Metazoa; Arthropoda; Insecta; Diptera; Drosophilidae. The record is from Ensembl.